Molecule: ribosomal RNA, 118 nt
Filed under: Pseudogymnoascus sp. VKM F-3775
Lineage: Eukaryota; Fungi; Ascomycota; Leotiomycetes; Thelebolales; Thelebolaceae
Source: RNAcentral
ACAUACGACCAUAGACUCAAGAGAACUGGGCAUCCCGUCCGCUCUGCCAUACAUAACCUUGAGAUCGGUGGAUUAGUAGUUGGGUGGGUGACCACCAGCGAAUACCCUGACCAAGAUU